UUCAUGGCCUUUGUUGUUGUUGUUGUUGUUUUUUCUCUUCAAAAUGGUGAAUUUGGACCAAUGUGUUUGUAAUAAUGGCAGGCACUGCUUCUCACCAUUUUAUGUCCCUUUGAAAAUAUAUUAGAAUAAACAGAUCCUUUACAUUACUGCAAAUUGUUCCUUCCACUAUGUGUCUCCGGGAAUAACAAGGACUAGGCAGAUACUGGUAACCAUAUUAAAGAUGGCUUUAAACAGCAGUUUUGGUAGAUUUGGCAAGAAAUAUCGCUAGAAAGAAUAAAGACAUUGUUAACGAAAACCAAAAGUCUGUUUGAAGUAAUGGUGUGUUUUGUCUUUCAUAUAUACGUCAGUUCAUGUUUAUUAAGAUUUGUUUUAGAUGUAAAAUUUUACAAACACAUGUAAAAUUUGCGAUAUUGCAUCAAAACUGAUUUCAAAAACAAUUUAUAGUACGAAACAACGUUUUGUCUUAAUGGAUAAGUGUUAAUUUGUUACAAAAAUCUUCAAUCAAUAUUAUUUCGGCUCUGUUAGAUUCAAAUCUCAGUAGAUUUUGAAAAAUUUCAGUUUUUUACCAGGUUAGUGCAAUAAAUGCACGAGAAAUUGUCCCUACUACUUUUCACAACAAAAGAGCCUUCUUUAAACAAAUUAUUUUGGUAAUUAUUUCCUACCUUUAUGCUUCAUACGCACAAUCCCUUAUAUUUGGUGUCAGUCAAACAGAUUUAUAUUGGCUGUUAAAUUGUGAUGGAGUAAACCAUGAGGCAACAAACAACAAACGUUGGGUUCAAAACCUUGAAAACUGGAAGUGUGCUAGUUCUAUUGAGGGGUAAACUAAAAUCAUUUCCAAUGUAACAGGUCCAGGAGGACAGUAGGAGUCAUAUGAAAUCAAAACGUUUAGAGAAUAUCAUAUAGAACAAUACUUUAGACAAACAUAGGAAUAUAAUUUAAACAAUAUUGAUAUGUAUCCAUACUUCAUGAAGGUGUGCACCAAUUUUGAUAACAUGUUUACAUCAUUUAACAUUAUAUUUUAAUAUUCAAUUACUUUUUAAUUGUUAAACUUCGUACUAAAAUAAACUGUUAUUUCUAAAUACAUGUGUUAUCAUUUUCACCAUGACAUCUAGAACUCUCAUGUAUUUGAUAUCAAGGGUGCAACAUAAUCUUCAUUCCAUUUAACGAAAACUCAAGUGAAAUACUGUGAGUUGAAUAUCAAAUCUAAAUAAUAAAGCUGUAUUUCUUUUCA
Molecule: long non-coding RNA, 1231 nt
Organism: Mytilus californianus (California mussel)
Lineage: Eukaryota; Metazoa; Mollusca; Bivalvia; Mytilida; Mytilidae
Exons: 2
Source: RefSeq, a predicted model, not a curated record